Molecule: long non-coding RNA, 992 nt
Organism: Halichondria panicea
Lineage: Eukaryota; Metazoa; Porifera; Demospongiae; Suberitida; Halichondriidae
Exons: 3
Source: RefSeq, a predicted model, not a curated record
UCUGCAGCUAACGCUGCAAGUAGUGCUCACUAGUUAGAGUUGUGCCAAGAAGCAUUGUUAGUUUUUUUUUGUUUGCAUUGGUAGUUUCAGUGCUUGGUAAGCGUGCAAAGACGGAGAUAAAUGUCUCACUGACGAUUAUCGAUACAUUCGGCAGUUCAUUUCUCAUGACCACCAUUCCGUCCGCAAGCAAGUUAUUCUUUCCAAAUUUUGGGGAGCUGUUACUUUUUUACCCAUCUGUAGAUCCAUGUAGUUAGUUUUGUGCAAAAUUGUGUUGUACUUCGUGCAAUAGCCGCAGAUUAUAGGUGUCUGGCGAAGAUAGGUUACUUACUCUACAUGUAUUAAAUACAAGCACUGUCAUGGCCUCGAAACAAAACAUGGCGAGAAGCACAGUGCAGCUUGCAUCACUCGUUAUAUAAGUGCAGUAAAGUAGUGCAGUAAAAUACAUGAUACAUGUCUCGUUGUCUGUACGCUUGUUCUAGAUCGACUGAUUGAUUGUCUUCUGUGCUAUUGUUUGGUUUUUUCACCCCUGACCUUUGCCCCCAGUAGUGCGGCCAUUUUCAGCCUGGCCAUGUGUUGAGAAAUGGAGGAGAGCUUUGUUGAGGAGACAAGAAGAGGCACUGAGAAUGAAGGUACAGGCCUACUAUGCUGCUAAGAGAGGGGCCUCACGUAAACUGGGCACUCAGAUGCUAACAGACCUCAGCAGUAUGGAAAAGGGUCUGUCAUCAGAGACUAAAAACUCCCCUGACACCCAGCCCACCUCCAGUCUGGUGAGCAGCCUAUAAGCAGUGAGGGACAGUCUGAAGACAUGGGUCCAUGGACAGGGGCUACUGAGGAAUCUUCAUCAAGAACAAGUUCCCGAGCCCCACCCCUCACUGUCUGACUCGGAAGAGGAGAUAGACUUUGGAUUCUGGGAGAAGGUGUCCACCCUACCCUUGGACAAGAACCUAAACUUGUUAUGACACUCAUAAUUUUGUCUGUUUUGUCUAUUCUCA